This 493-nucleotide ribosomal RNA is filed under the name uncultured bacterium. RNAcentral describes it as "bacterial SSU rRNA". It matches the Rfam family "Bacterial small subunit ribosomal RNA", at positions 28 to 529 of the family's 1533-position model. The record is from RNAcentral.
GACGAACGCUGGCGGCGUGCUUAACACAUGCAAGUCGAACGGACGAGUGAGAUAAGUUUACUUAACUCACAAGUUAGUGGCGGACGGGUGAGUAACACGUGGAUAAUCUACCUGCAACACCGGGAUAACGCUGUGAAAACGGUGCUAAUACCGGAUACGUUCCCUUGUGCGCAUGUAUGAGGGAAGAAAGCUCAGGCGGUUGCAGAUGAGUCCGCGGCUGAUUAGCUAGUUGGUGAGGUAAAGGCUCACCAAGGCGAUGAUCAGUAGCCGGCCUGAGAGGGUGAACGGCCACACUGGGACUGAGACACGGCCCAGACUCCUACGGGAGGCAGCAGUGGGGAAUCUUCCGCAAUGGGCGCAAGCCUGACGGAGCAACGCCGCAUGGGUGAAGAAGGCCUUCGGGCUGUAAAGCCUGUCUUAUGGGAAGAAGUCAGUGACGGUACCAUAGGAGGAAGCCACGGCUAACUACGUGCCAGCAGCCGCGGUAAAAGUA